UACAGAUCCUCACUCUCUCUCAGCAAGCGCCAUGCUUCACAUGUCACACCACUCUCCUCAUCACACACAAUCAUCAUUUUCAUUUUACACAAAGCAUCUCUGCCCAGCAGAUUAAAGGGGCAUUCUUCUGAUAAUGCAAAUGGCAGCGCGAAGCAUUGAUUAUCGUAUAUACAUUGCAAUGGAACCGAUAAUUUAUCUGAUAUGACUUUUCCAGACGCAGUGGUUGCGUAAAUCACACAGUCUGACUCCCUAAAUUUAUCUGAUUUCUCCUGUUUUAGUGAUAUGCACGAUCUUGUCGCGCCAGUGUCUACCAGAAACCGCAAUGGUUUCCCUUCUACUAACAUUUUUAUUUCUGGGCUGGUUACGUAUGGCUGAUUAUACACACACAUAGUUUCAUCUGUGCUAACUAACAUUUCCCUUUCAGCAUAGUUACAGUUAGAAAAAGCAGAUACUUCGUUGCGCAAAGAGAAAGGAUUGAUACUCAUCGUGUGCUGUGCUGUCACUUCGCUGGACGCCUCCUCCCUCCCAGGGGUAAAUCAGUCCAUUUUAUCAUGUCCCACCACCUCAGCUCUCGGUCCCUCAGGACAAUUACGAUACCAAUGUCCCUCUUUUCCGCAGUUCCAGCACCCUUUUUCUCUUUGUUCACUUCGUCCUCUUCCUCUCCCCCUGCCUCUGCCUCUACCUCUGCCUCUGCCCCUUCCACAUUCUCCUGCAUGCCAGUCCUGAGUCUCCUUCUUGGCUUGUUGCAUCCUCAUUUCAGCCACUGCUAGGUUGACGUUGUGAAUGCGUCUGCUUUCUUUUGCAGAUUGUCUGGAUGUUACUUCAUCAGCGUGUGUGGCAUGUCUUCUCACCUCCUCCAGCCUAGCUCUGCUGAGUCCCACGCAUGAACGCUCCACUGCACGUCUUGUUUCCUCUCUCAUGCCUUGUAGAAAGCAGGUUUUCAAGAACUCUUCAUAAGGAGACGGGUUUGCAGCGUCAGCUGGCUUGUGGUUUGAGUGCAGAGGUUGGUUUCAGUAUUUGUCUCUUCGGCUUUGUAGCAGUCUCUGAGGGAGAUUUUUCAGUCUUAAGUAACAGUGGUUUCUUGUCAUCUUCUGCCUCAUCAGGGGUGUCCAGGUCUGGGAGUGGGGGUGAGCUGGGUGCGGUGGGUUCAGCGCGUUGUUCGGAUGUCAGUCCGUGGUAUGGUGGAGGUGGAUUUCGUUCGCCCCUGGGUGGGAGGCAGUCGUCCUCUGUGACUUUGACACAUCGACUUUGUACCUCAGAAGAAGAAUGAGUAGAAUUACAACAAGAACUUUUCUUGUUUGCUUUUCUUUCCCUUGUCUUACUUUCCUCUACCCAAUAUCCUAUAGUUUGACGAACCUCUGCCAUGCAGGGUUCCUUAGAACUAGGUUUAUAUUCACAAUAAAUUUUGUCUUGCCAUGCAGUAUUUUUCUGCACCGAGAAAUUUGGUAUGUAGCCAAAUCUCCCGUGCAGGAAUUCAGUUCUUUCUUUAAACUGCAUUCCAUGUUUUUUACACAUUUGAGACAGACAAUUAGACAUAGGCAAAGCAUCAUCUCUCCCUCCAGGUGCACCCACCUUACUAUCUUUGUUUCCCAUUUCGUGCGGACUUUAUACCUCACGUGAGGACUUUAUACCUCAAUUAACACUUAUUACUAGGAGGACUCUAUACCUCCUAGGGGGACUUGAUACCCCUCUGGGAAGUGACUAGGAGGACUCUAUACCUCCUAGGGGGACUUGAUACCCCUCUUAAGAAUAUAAGGAUUUUGUACGUCACCUAAGUGAUCUGAUGUACCUCCACAGGUUCUUUUUCGGAUCCCAAUCCCUGGAGGCUCCAGCGCCCACGUCCCUGUUGGGGGUUUGGGUCGACAGGCUUUCUUGUCGAGUUGAUCAGACCGCUGAAUUCCUUCAGGAAUGGGAUCCCAUCCUCGCCGCCAGAUGUUGUGGAAAAAGUUAUUUCAGAGUCACUCAGAUGAGGAAUGCACAAGAGUCAGAGAGAUGUUUCUUUGGUCUAUGUUUAUUAUAACAUGCGCAUGGAACUCUCCUUGUGUCACCACAGCAGAGAGUUAAGUUCAGCAUCAUUUCACAACAUUAUAUUCCAUCCUCUAUAUGGCAUCCCCACCCCUCUGCACGUACAUUCGUGUCCAGAAAUAAUCUCUUUUCGCAGAAUCGUGGCCAUUUUAUGUUUAAUGUUCCCUAAUUCGUAGAAUCAGUGAUUGACUCUAUUGGUCUUCUGAGUAGAGUGUCCUAUUGGGGCUGUCUGUCACUCUCAAAGAAGGUGAGGAAACCACAAGAGGAUAAACAUUCAUAGUCAUAGUACAGACAACAUGAGUAAAUAUAAUGCUGUUAGUGAAACACAUGUCAUUUGUACUAAGACAAAUGACUCAUUUUGCCAUGGCUUGCUAAGCAGGGUUUUUAUCAUUCUCUCACUUGUCGUGAUCUUUCAAUUCACUCAUGGUUAGAACAAAACAGCUAUUGUGAAUUACUGUAAGUGAGGGCUGUCGGCCUUAAAGCGUUUCUUGCGAAUAGAAAACAUUUGAUUAUAUUGUACACAUACUGCACACAGAAAUGAUUAUAUUUUAUUUUCCCUAACAACGCCCAGGAAUGUUGUCAGGACCCGGAGCUUUGCGUGCAUUGAUCCUGCUGAAGGAUCUCCUCACGCUGUCCGGGGUCAGCAUCAUCACCUGGUCACUGGGAGGAGGUGGAUUCUUCUGUGCAGUGGAGCUGUUUUGUGCCUCAAAGUGAGCGAAGAAGGUGUUCAGCUCAUUCAGCAGAGAGAUGUUGCUGUCACAGGUCCGCUGUGGGGGCUUGUAGUCCGUAAUGGUCUGUAUCCCCUGCCACAGGCUCCGAGUGUCUCUGCUGUCACUGAAUUGAUGGGCUAUCCUCCUGGAGUACUGUCUCUUAGCCUCUCUGAUGCCGCGGGAUAGGUUGGCCCUGGCUCUUCUCAGGCCCCCCUCAUCUCCAGCUCUGAAAGCAGCGUUCCGCGUCUCCAGGAGUCUGUAGACCUCCCCUGUCAUCCACGGCUUCUGGUUGGCCCGGACAGUGAUGGUUUUUGUGACUGUUACAUCCUCAAUACACUUGUUGAUGUAGGCAGUGACAGUCUCCGAGUACUCCUGGAGGUCAGUGGUGUUAUUGUAAGUGGCAGCCUGCUUAAACAUAUUCCAGUCAGUUGUAUCAAAGCAGUCUUGAAGAGCGUCAGACGACCCUUCUGGCCACACUUGAAUCUGUUUCUGAACUGGUUUGGCGACUUUAACGAGCGGUCUGUAUGCAGGCAUUAGCAUGACAGUGAUGUGGUCAGAGGCACCGAGGUGGGGGAGGGCUUUGUAAGCUCCUCUCUGUGUGGUGUAAACAAAGUCUAAAAUGUUAUUACCUCGUGUUGGAAAGUUAAUGUGUUGGUGUAUUUUCACUCUUUAAGUCAGCAUGGUUGAAAUCCCCAGCUAUGAUGAGAAAAGCAUCGGGGUGUGCUGUCUGCUGCUCACUGAUGUGCUGGUACAGUUCAUUUAGUGCAUCGUUCCUGUUGCUGUUGUUCGGGGGAAUGUAAACCGAAACGAGCAGUAUGGCAGUAUAUUCCCUCGGCAGAUAGAACGGCCGGCACUUAAUAAUCAUAAACUCCACCAGGGGUGAGCAGUGUUUGCAGAUCACAACAGCAUCGCGGCACCAUGCGUCAUUGAUGUAAACACAAAGCCCGCCGCCCAGCUCUGUCUGCUCGAUAGCACGUCAGCUGGUCGCUGUCGCUGAGCCAUGUUUCCAUGAAUACAAACACACAACAGUCUCUUACAGUCCUUUGAGUUGAACGUAGUAAUCGGAUGUAGUCCA
Molecule: long non-coding RNA, 3810 nt
Organism: Cyprinus carpio carpio
Lineage: Eukaryota; Metazoa; Chordata; Actinopteri; Cypriniformes; Cyprinidae
Source: Ensembl